UGGGUCACCGUGUUGCAGUGUG
RNAcentral lists this microRNA (22 nucleotides) under Petromyzon marinus (sea lamprey). RNAcentral's name for it is "pma-miR-4554". Lineage: Eukaryota; Metazoa; Chordata; Hyperoartia; Petromyzontiformes; Petromyzontidae. The record is from miRBase by way of RNAcentral.